CAGUAACGGCGAGUGAAGCGGCAACAGCUCAAAUUUGAAAUCUGGCCCUUGUGGUCCGAGUUGUAAUUUGUAGAAGAUGCUUUUGGUGAGGUUCCUUCCGAGUUCCCUGGAACGGGACGCCUUAGAGGGUGAGAGCCCCGUACGGUUGGAUACCAAGCCUUUGUAAAGCUCUUUCGACGAGUCGAGUAGUUUGGGAAUGCUGCUCUAAAUGGGAGGUAAAUUUCUUCUAAAGCUAAAUACCGGCCAGAGACCGAUAGCGCACAAGUAGAGUGAUCGAAAGAUGAAAAGCACUUUGAAAAGAGGGUUAAAUAGCACGUGAAAUUGUUGAAAGGGAAGGAUUUAUGACCAGACUUUUUCCAGGCGGAUCAUCCGGUGUUCUCACCGGUGCACUUCGUCUGGUUUAGGCCAGCAUCGGUUUCUAUAGAGGGAUAAAAGUAGUAGGAAUGUGGCACCCUCCGGGGUGUGUUAUAGCCUGCUACAUAAUACCUUUACGGGGACCGAGGUACGCGCUUCUGCAAGGAUGCUGGCAUAAUGGUUAUUAAUCACCCGUCUUGAAACACGGACCAAGGAGUCGAACAUUUGUGCAAGUGUUUGGGUGUUAAACCCUCACGCGUAAUGAAAGUGAACGGAGGUGAGAGCCCUUUACGGGGUGCAUCAUCGACCGAUCCUGAAGUUUUCGGAAGGAUUUGAGUAAGAGCAUAACUGUUCGGACCCGAAAGAUGGUGAACUAUGCGUGGAUAGGGUGAAGCCAGAGGAAACUCUGGUGGAGGCUCGCAGCGGUUCUGACGUGCA
This 792-nucleotide ribosomal RNA is filed under the name Clypeophysalospora latitans. RNAcentral's name for it is "eukaryotic LSU rRNA". It matches the Rfam family "Eukaryotic large subunit ribosomal RNA", at positions 81 to 895 of the family's 3401-position model. The record is from RNAcentral. Lineage: Eukaryota; Fungi; Ascomycota; Sordariomycetes; Amphisphaeriales; Clypeophysalosporaceae.